UGCCAGCAGCCGCGGUAAUACGUAGGGGCCAAACGUUGUCCGGAUUUAUUGGGCGUAAAGGGCUCGUAGGCGGUUCAACAAGUCGGUCGUGAAAGCCCGGGGCUCAACCCCGGAAUUGCUUCUGAAACUUCCAGUCUUGAGGGUGAGAGGGGAGAGUGGAACUUCUGGUGGAGCGGUGAAAUGCGUAGAGAUCAGAAGGAACACCGGUGGCGAAAGCGACUCUCUGGCUCAUUUCUGACGCUGAGGUGCGAAAGCUUGGGUAGCGAACGGGAUUAGAUA
This 279-nucleotide ribosomal RNA is filed under the name uncultured bacterium. Its description in RNAcentral is "partial 16S ribosomal RNA". It matches the Rfam family "Bacterial small subunit ribosomal RNA", at positions 506 to 784 of the family's 1533-position model. The record is from RNAcentral.